GAUGGAUUGGUGUGGUUCCUCUACGCCUAGGACACCUGAAUAUCGAACCAUGAACGAAGAAAGGCAUGAGAGAAAAGCAUAUUGGCUAGUGAUUGUGAGGCCCCAAUUCUUGACUGGAGGGGACACCAAAGGCUGGUUCCUCUACGCCUAGGACACCUGAAUAUCGAACCAUGAACGAAGAAAGGCAUGAGAGAAAAGCAUAUUGGCUAGUGACUGU
This 217-nucleotide long non-coding RNA is filed under the name Nicotiana benthamiana. Its description in RNAcentral is "long non-coding RNA (NBEN_LNC039071)". The record is from RNAcentral. Lineage: Eukaryota; Viridiplantae; Streptophyta; Magnoliopsida; Solanales; Solanaceae.